This 366-nucleotide long non-coding RNA is filed under the name Helianthus annuus (common sunflower). Its description in RNAcentral is "sRNA HanXRQr2_Chr16g0724691". Lineage: Eukaryota; Viridiplantae; Streptophyta; Magnoliopsida; Asterales; Asteraceae. The record is from RNAcentral.
CAAAGGAUUUUUUGGGAAAGUUAAUUCAAUGUUUAUUGCGAUGUAAGAUAUGUGCGUAAUAGAAGGGGCCAGAUAUCCGUAGCGUGGAACAAAAGCCGCAAACGUCUUAUAUUUCCCAACGUAUGUUUUAUAUCACUUUGUAAGGAAAAUUAUUGAUUUUUGCUUUAUGUAGUUUAUAUGAUGUUAGUGUUACUUUAGAUUUGCUUCUUAGAUCUCAACUUUGGUUUUGUGUUUGAUGUCAAGUAGCUUCGCUUCUGUUGAACCUUGAUUAGUCAUCUGAACCAAUUUUUACUAUCAUGAUGCUUCUUUAUUACAUUUUUCUACAUGUAUGUUGUUGUAUUGUAUCAUGUCGCCUUUAGAUGUAUG